Molecule: small nucleolar RNA, 199 nt
Organism: Pan troglodytes (chimpanzee)
Lineage: Eukaryota; Metazoa; Chordata; Mammalia; Primates; Hominidae
Source: Ensembl
ACCUUCUUGUUUAAGCUCUGUACUAAAAUUGCAGAAACUAGUAUCGUGUCUUACCAUUUGUAAUAAAGCUAUCAGAGAAAACCCAAGGAAAAAAAACAGCUGUACCAGAUAGAAAAACUGAGUUGAACCUUUUUUUUUUCUUUUUUUUAGAUGGAGUCUCACUCUGUCACCCAGGCUGGAGUGUAGUGGCGCGAUCUCA